CCUACGGGUGGUAGCAGUGGGGAAUAUUGGACAAUGGGGGCAACCCUGAUCCAGCCAUGCCGCGUGUGUGAAGAAGGCCCUCGGGUUGUAAAGCACUUUCAGUGAGGAAGAACGCCUGGUGGUUAAUACCCAUCAGGAAAGACAUCACUCACAGAAGAAGCACCGGCUAACUCCGUGCCAGCAGCCGCGGUAAUACGGAGGGUGCGAGCGUUAAUCGGAAUUACUGGGCGUAAAGCGCGCGUAGGUGGCUUGAUAAGCCGGUUGUGAAAGCCCCGGGCUCAACCUGGGAACGGCAUCCGGAACUGUCAAGCUAGAGUGCAGGAGAGGAAGGUAGAAUUCCCGGUGUAGCGGUGAAAUGCGUAGAGAUCGGGAGGAAUACCAGUGGCGAAGGCGGCCUUCUGGACUGACACUGACACUGAGGUGCGAAAGCGUGGGUAGCAAACAGGAUUAGAUACCCGAGUAGUC
RNAcentral lists this ribosomal RNA (465 nucleotides) under Vreelandella stevensii. RNAcentral's name for it is "partial 16S ribosomal RNA". It matches the Rfam family "Bacterial small subunit ribosomal RNA", at positions 338 to 795 of the family's 1533-position model. The record is from RNAcentral. Lineage: Bacteria; Pseudomonadati; Pseudomonadota; Gammaproteobacteria; Oceanospirillales; Halomonadaceae.